RNAcentral lists this long non-coding RNA (1245 nucleotides) under Gossypium barbadense (sea-island cotton). Its description in RNAcentral is "long non-coding RNA (GBAR_LNC013927)". Lineage: Eukaryota; Viridiplantae; Streptophyta; Magnoliopsida; Malvales; Malvaceae. The record is from RNAcentral.
CGCAUUGAUUUGCACGGGACCAGAUUGGAACAGGCGAGAAAUUACGUGGCCGAAAUUAAAAGAAAUAAAAGAGUGCGUCGCAUCUGUCACAGAAUUGGAGGGACUAACUGUGUAAAAUACCCAUUAGGGUAAUAAUGCACAACCCUCUUUCCUUUACAAGACGCCGUUUGAUAUUUUUAAAGAGAAAUAAAAUAAAAUAAAACUUUCAAAUCACUCUAAUCUGCCAUUCUUUAAGAAAAUAGAGCAAAAAUGUGAAACCCUAGCCCCCUUUCUUUUUCUCUCCACCGCUUGAGAAACUAAGAGCCACUCUUCCUCAACUCCGAUUUGGACGGAGAGAAGAAGAGCUUCGACGGCGCCACGGUAAGAACUCUCCGUCUUUUCCCUUUUUUAUUUUUGAUUUAUCAAAUGCAUAUGUAAAAUAAAAUAAAAACCAAAUAACGAAAAAAAACGAAAGAUUCGCACCUAAAAAAACUUUCUCAGAAUUCGAUCUAUAUUCUUUUUAUUUCUUUGUUUCAAAACGCUGUUUUUUUUUUUAUACAAAAAUCCCCCCUGUUACAGAGAAAUCGUAUUCGUUUUUAUAGCCAAUAUACAAUACUUUUGCUGCUACUUGUUGUCGUUUCUGCCUCUGUUCGGUAGUCUUUUCUUUCCCUUUUCUUGCAGGUGGUCAACAGAUGCGGAGCUUGCUAUCUUGGUGCAAUGCUUGGCUGGCGGUGGCUAGGGUGUCAGGUAAGCCUCGGGACGAGGCGCGGAUGGUACGCCCGAGGGAGCGGCGCACAUGUAAGAUACGGAGGAGAUGGUGGUGGUGACAAGGAGGUCUGUUCGCCGUAACUAGCAGAGAGCAAGAGUAAGCAAGGAGGGAGGAGAUGAGGAAAAUGAGGAGGAGGUCGUGCGUUGCUAUAGGAUUAAGGUUGUUGAGAAGGAAGAAAUAUCUUUUAUUCAUCGUGCCUUGGGGUAUUUAUAGGAGGUGGGUACCCUUUAUCGAAUAGAGUCACGUCAUUGACAAACUCGAGAUAUGAUAAAUGUGUGAUCGGCCAGGUGGCAAGGCGGUUACAUGUUGGUUGUGUAUACAACUUUAACAUUCCAUUUGUAAAGUACCACGUGACAUUUUAAAUAAGAAUAUAUAAAUUUUCUUUUAUAAAAAAUAUAUAAACUUUAAAAUUUUAUAAAAAUAAAAUAUAAAAAAUUAGAAAUACAUAUAUAAUGUAAAAUUAUAUAGUAUCAAUUUCUUAAAAAAUCAUACAAAAC